GGAAAGGUGAUAUAAAUUUUGUUUUAAGUUAUUCUUCAGUUAUAUUUAACUUCAGCUUUCAGUAUCGAACCAUGAGAUAACUGUUGAUUGAAAACAACUAAAAGUAACAUAUAAGCAUUUAUUAUCACAUUUGAGUGAACUUACUUAAGACAUUCAAUUGCUGCAGGCAUUAAAGCAGUUACCUCGAGAAAAGGUUGAGUUGGCUACAAAAUUUGGUGUAUUUAAAAUUGGGGGUCCUGAAGUCAUAGUAAAAGGUUCACCUGAAUAUGUCCGUUCUUGUUGUGAGGCUAGCUUGAAGCGUCUUGACGUGGAUUAUAUUGAUCUCUACUACAUACAUCGGAUUGAUCAGACUGUGCCUAUUGAAGAGACGGUUAGUUUUUCUUAUAUACUUUUAUUUGUGAUAUUGUUCUUAUAUAGCCAUUUUGAUUAGUGUCCAUUGACCUCAUUUUCUCUUUUUUGUAUUCGUCUUUCUUAACACGCUUUCUAUAUCACUUAAUAUUACGUCUUGAUGAUAAACUUGUUUAUGAGUUGCAGAUGGGAGAACUAAAAAAGCUAGUUGAAGAAGGUAAAAUAAAAUAUAUUGGGUUAUCUGAAGCUAGCCCAAACACAAUAAGGAGGGCACAUGCAGUUCAUCCUAUUACUGCUAUACAAAUGGAAUAUUCCCUUUGGACUCGUAACAUCGAAGAAGAAUUUAUUCCACUUUGCAGGUUCUAAUUAUUUCUCAAAUAUUUCUAUUAUAAUGCUGAUUGUUCAAAAUAUUACAUUUUAGGCAAAAAAUUUUGGCAAAUCAAAUUUUAAGACGGUGAAAGCAGAUGUUCGAAUCUCAUAUUUAUUUUUUCACGACAUAAAGUACUUGAUGUCAUUCCUUCUUCGACUAACAUUGCAAUGUUCAGUUCCUAUUCUCCAAUAUAAUAGUUCGCGUUUGUGUACUUCUCUUGUUGAUGUGUUAAACUUGUAUUUUUGAUGGGUUAAAUACAGUCUUACUUAGGGUUUUGAUAAUUAUUGCUUUUGAUGAGGAUGCUAAAAGUUCUUUUCUUUCUUUCGAGUGCCCUAAUUCAUCUUUUUUCCAUUACUAUUCAUCAAGUAUGUGUAGUUUUUAUCUUAUCGUUCUCCUCCCUGUUCAAUAAUAAUGUUCUCAUAUAGGAUUUCCUUUUCUUUUUGGAAUGGUUUAUUAGGGAACUUGGUAUCGGAAUAGUUCCAUACAGCCCAGUGGGCCGAGGGUUUUUUGCUGGGAAGGCCAUAGUGGAGAGCUUGCCCCCAAGUAGCAGACUGGUUCGUAUGCUUCCUGUCUUUUAAUUUUAGACAUGUAAACUCUACCUUGGAAUCCAAGAUGAUUUAGUAGUUUCUUCAUUUUAGUUAUCUGUACUUGCUGAAUCGUCGCCUGAUUUUCGUACCAUCAGGCACAUCACCCAAGGUUUACAGAAGAGAACUUAGAUAAAAACAAAGUCAUUUAUUUUCGUAUUGAAGCAUUAGCUAAGAAGCAUGGAUGUACUCCUGCCCAACUUGCGCUUGCAUGGGUUCUUCAUCAAGGAGAUGAUGUUGUACCUAUUCCGGGUAAGCCUGUUCAUAUUUAAUUUGCAUUAAAUAUGGUAGGGUUUGAUGAGAGUUUGGCGUACUUAUUUUGUUAUACUUGAAAUAUUGUGAUUACUUGUCAAUGUUGUCAGAGAUUUUAUGCAAAACCGCAUAGUAAUGGAUAGUAACUAAAACAUUUAUUAUCAUAUUCACUCCAUGGAUUGUUUUUAUUUUAACAGUAACAUGCCAUUCAACUUGCAACAUUGUAGGUACGACUAAGAUAAAAAAUCUCCACGAUAAUAUUGGUUCCGUGAAAGUGAAGCUUACAAAAGAUGAUUUAAAAGAGAUCUCUGAUGCAGUCCCCAUCGAUGAAGUGGCAGGGUCAAAAUCUGACAGCGCUAUUGGUCGGGUCAAUGCGCAAUUUGCCGAUACCCCACCCCCAAAAUGAACAUUGCAAGAUUGUUGAUAAAUCUUUGUAUGUUAUGUUUUCAAAUGUGGGCGUCUGAUAUUUGUAACAAUUUUGUCGUAGACAUAUUGCUACUACUCUUGGUUCAAUAAUGCAAGUAAUGUUUCUCUUCAGUCACUAGGGUUGUAUCAUGAACUAUGAAUUAUCGAUAAAUUAUUAGUAAUUUUUUUUUUAAAGAAUAGUUGGUAGAUAAUUCAGUCAGGCGUGGAUUGCAUAUUUUGGCAUGAUAUAUUACACUUUUGUGUCUAUUUAUAUAUUUGUAAUUAAGGCCAUAUGAUCAAUAAAAAAUCUUUAAACAAG
RNAcentral lists this long non-coding RNA (2278 nucleotides) under Olea europaea subsp. europaea. Lineage: Eukaryota; Viridiplantae; Streptophyta; Magnoliopsida; Lamiales; Oleaceae. The record is from RNAcentral.